AUGGAGAUUUUCGAGCAUUUCAGAGAAGUUGAUUGCUAUUAUAAUAUCUCCAUUGCUUAUCGCAUCUUAUUUAUUGUGCCCGUCACGGUCGCAUCGACCGAAAGAAGUUUUUCAAAGUUAAAAUUAUUUAAGAAUUAUUUGAGGUCAACAAUGACUCAGGAGAGGCUAAAUGGCUUUCCUGCAUUUUGCAUCGAGAAGAAAUUAUUGGAUGAGAUUGACAUCGACCCUAUCAUAAGUGACUUUGCAUCAAGGAAUGUAGAAGAAAGUUUUAAGGUAAUGUGUAUAAAUUAUUUGAUUCAAAUAGUAAUUUUGAAUUCAUUUAAUUGCUAUUGA
RNAcentral lists this ribosomal RNA (333 nucleotides) under Triticum aestivum (bread wheat). Its description in RNAcentral is "partial small subunit ribosomal RNA". Lineage: Eukaryota; Viridiplantae; Streptophyta; Magnoliopsida; Poales; Poaceae. The record is from RNAcentral.